This 69-nucleotide transfer RNA is filed under the name Protopterus annectens (West African lungfish). RNAcentral's name for it is "tRNA-Tyr". Lineage: Eukaryota; Metazoa; Chordata; Ceratodontiformes; Protopteridae. The record is from RNAcentral.
GGUAGGGUGGCCGAGAAUGAGGCGGCGGACUGUAGUCCCGCAAAGGGGGGAGAAAUACCUCCGUCUACC